CAAAUGGUCAAUAAUAACAUUUUAAUAUCUAUAUUUUUUUUAAUAUACAUUUUAAUAUUGACCACUUAUUGGUUAUUGGCUUCAACAUAUAACAGUAAAAUACAACUAUAAGCUUAUCAGUGUUGGCCAAAAUGUCAUUCUUAUCCUUUAUAUUUGUACUCCAGCAUAAAUCCUGACCUGUGCUGCCUACCUAAGCCCUACCUAUUGAAACAAUGCAUUAAACCCAUUCGUCCUGGUUGCCCUGGUUACGGCCACUUAUCAAGGAGAGGCCUUAAAGAUCAAACAGAUUUGUAACUACAGGAACAAUGCUGAGGAACCAGCAUCCGCUCAGCAGCUCUCUCAGCCCCACCCAGCAGCACUCAGCAUCUCUGCAGUACUUCUUCCUCAAAGAUAGAGAGAGAGAGGGAGACGGAGCGGGAGAGCGAGUAGGAAGUGGGAAGUCACCUCCGUCACUGUAAGUCACCCAACUAAUCAGCUCAGCUCAGCGCCUGGUGGGGGGAGGGGGGUGGUGGUAAGAGAGAGAGAGGAAAAGAGUGAGAGAGAGGUAACAAUUUCAAGGGGUGACUGAACAGCCACGUAAGGUGCUCCUGCCAUGUUCCCUCAAAGGAUGGGUUCACUGGAUGUGAAUGGAAUCAAAUUAGGAGAGAUGGCCAGCCGGGUUGGGGGCCGAUAUGAAGUGUUACUGUGGUGUUAUUGCAUUAAAGAAAUACAUCAGAAUGAUUUUUUUGAUGCAUAGUUGGAGUUAGUGAGCUAACGAGCAAGAUAACUAGCUAUAGGUGUUCUCACACUGAGUAAUGCAUAUUUUGAGG
Cyprinus carpio carpio is the source of this 809-nucleotide long non-coding RNA. Lineage: Eukaryota; Metazoa; Chordata; Actinopteri; Cypriniformes; Cyprinidae. The record is from Ensembl.